This 505-nucleotide ribosomal RNA is filed under the name uncultured bacterium. RNAcentral describes it as "bacterial SSU rRNA". It matches the Rfam family "Bacterial small subunit ribosomal RNA", at positions 338 to 847 of the family's 1533-position model. The record is from RNAcentral.
CCUACGGGAGGCAGCAGUAAGGAAUAUUGGUCAAUGGACGCAAGUCUGAACCAGCCAUGCCGCGUGAAGGAUGAAUGCCCUCUGGGUUGUAAACUUCUUUUAUAGGGGACGAAAAAGGGUCUUUUCAGAUCAACUGACGGUACCCUAGGAAUAAGCACCGGCUAACUCCGUGCCAGCAGCCGCGGUAAUACGGAGGGUGCAAGCGUUAUCCGGAUUUACUGGGUUUAAAGGUGCGUAGGUGGUUGGUAAGUCAGCGGUGAAAUCUUCGAGCUUAACUCGGAAACUGCCAUUGAUACUAUCAGCCUUGAAUAUCCUGGAAGGUGAGCGGAAUAUGUCAUGUAGCGGUGAAAUGCUUAGAUAUGACAUAGAACACCAAUUGCGAAGGCAGCUCACUACGGGAUUAUUGACACUGAGGCACGAAAGCGUGGGGAUCAAACAGGAUUAGAUACCCUGGUAGUCCACGCCUAACGAUAGAUACUACGACAUGUGAUAUACUAGUAGUAGU